CCACCGGAGCCCUAUAAAUACCACCCGGAUGGAACUCCCGAGAGGAUGCGUUCCUUGUUCCGAUAGUACCCUCGUUCUUUCGCUUGAAUCCACUCUCUAUCCACAUUCAUGGCGAAGUCAGGUGGCCUCCCGCUCGGUUCUCCCGCUCCCCAUUUCGAGCUGCCUGAGCCACUGACGGACAAAGUAUGGAAACUGGAAGAUUUUGAGUCUCACUCUGGACUCCUGGUAAUGUUUCUUUGCAAUCACUGUCCAUUUGUGGUGCACCUGAAGAAAGACAUUGCGAGGUUAGCACGUGAUUAUAAGGAGAAGGGUGUUGCGGUUGUGGCAAUCUCUUCAAACUCAGAAGUGACUUACCCACAGGAUGGGCCCAAGUUCAUGGCGGAAGAUGCCAAGACAUUUGAUUACCCAUUUCCAUAUCUAUAUGAUAAGUCACAAGACAUUGCGCGGGCCUUUCAAGCUGUUUGCACACCAGAGUUCUUCUUGUUCAAAAAGGAUGUGGGAAAGCCUUUUGAUCUUUUCUACCAUGGGCGGUUUGAUGAGUCACGUCCUGGUAACAAUGUACCAGUCACAGGAAGUGACUUGAGCUUGGCAGUUGACUGUCUUCUGGGUGGCAGACCAUUUCCUAAUCCACAAAGGCCAAGUAUUGGAUGCAGCAUCAAGUGGCACCCAUGAAAUCUGUAGCUGAUGCGAUGCAGUAUCAAGUGGCCAUGAAAGCUGUAGCUGAUGUUCCAAACUUUUGGAUGACGCAAUAGCAUCUAUCUAGUUAGCUUCCCUCUGCUGUGGUAGAAGAAAAAUCGCACUGCAAAAUGCAACAUUUUUUUCUCGUUGGGUGAAUACAAGCCAUACAGCAGUAGAGAACGCGAGAGAGAAAGGGAGAGAGAGAUUUCAUUUGAGAUGAAAUAAUGCUGGUAUGCUGUUUAUCAAAUGGAGGGGAUAUCCGCUUGAAGGCUAAAACAGGUGGGGCCUACAGAAUAUUUUUCUGUUACUCAGACAUGAUAAAAAUCUUGAGAUAAGUUCUCUUGUUAGAUAGACAGUUUUUUCUUCUUUAGAAAGGACUUUUUAUAUCUCUUUUAAAGAACAGAAAGACUAGCUCAUGGAGCCAGAGAUCUGAGUGGGCAUUGGGUACUCAUGUCUUAAU
This is an RNA transcript of Nymphaea colorata (pocket water lily), 1138 nucleotides long. RefSeq lists it as uncharacterized. The record is from RefSeq and is a predicted model, not a curated record. NCBI's taxonomy places the organism in Eukaryota, Viridiplantae, Streptophyta, Magnoliopsida, Nymphaeales, Nymphaeaceae. The transcript has 10 exons.